UUUCCGUAGGUGAACCUGCGGAAGGAUCAUUGCACACACAAAAAACAACUGCAAACAACCCCUUUUAUGAAUUUGUGAAUGUACAAACCCCUUGUGGUCGGGAACUUGUUUCCCCUCUCACUCCUCCUCGCAAGAGGAGCGAGGGAGAGAAGGGAGCAAGGCCCCGAACACGAAACCGCACAAUGAUUUUCCACGUGAAUUUGACUGAACUUGUAUAUAAAAAUAUCAAGAACCCCUUAAAGUCCCCGUCCGGGGGCUUUAUCGAGUUGAGAUUUUUUUUAUGAAAUAAUAAUAAAAAAAUACAACUCUCAGCAACGGAUAUCUUGGCUCUU
RNAcentral lists this unclassified non-coding RNA (332 nucleotides) under soil metagenome. RNAcentral describes it as "partial contains small subunit ribosomal RNA, internal transcribed spacer 1, and 5.8S ribosomal RNA". The record is from RNAcentral.